This 721-nucleotide long non-coding RNA is filed under the name Capsicum annuum. RNAcentral's name for it is "long non-coding RNA (CANN_LNC003670)". The record is from RNAcentral. Lineage: Eukaryota; Viridiplantae; Streptophyta; Magnoliopsida; Solanales; Solanaceae.
UCAUGACCUCUUCCAGGAAAUCCUCAACUUCCAUCCCUUUUCUUAAGCCCGCGCCACCAAAAAAAAAAAAAUCCUUAUCCCCCUCCGUAUUUUGUAUAGCAAAUUCUAUGGGCUCAAGCCCCCUGAAUUGUUGUACUAUUUAGUUCCAUUUGUAUGAUGCUUUCUGUAACCCCUGAAAAAGGAUAGAGUAAUUAUAAUCAAUAUUUUUUCCUUUUUUUUUUCUUUUUUAAAGGAUCUCCUCUCGAAGUUUGAUUUGAUUUUACGAAACAUGAAUGUCUGUCUUGAUAAAUGAAGUUAAAACUCUUUGGACGAAGUGAAAUACAGGUGAAAGAGAAUGGUUUUCAUUGAAGCAAGUUCUUUUGUGUUGGUGACUAGAGCACGCUGAUAGUGUUAAAACCAAGUAGAGUGAUUCUGGUAAAAUAGCCUAUAUUAGUUGACAUUCUGCUGGCUUAGGAGCAUGUGUGACAGUGUGCUUUGUAUGGGGCAAUUGUGCUUCCAAAUUUCAGCAGACUUUAUGAGCCCUGCCUUCCGUUUCACACCAUUUACCAAGAUUUGCUGUUUGAAAAACUUUCCAAAACCUGCUUUUGACGUAUCUCCAGUUGUUUCUUCCACGAGUUUGUAAUUUGGGUGACAUUUUUGCUUUACGCAGAGAAUUUACCUCCAGACAAGUUUCUCUUCUGCCCUUGCUAAAGCAAGGUUUCCCAUUUAAGUUCUGUGGAAG